RNAcentral lists this long non-coding RNA (975 nucleotides) under Ananas comosus (pineapple). RNAcentral describes it as "long non-coding RNA (ACOM_LNC008086)". The record is from RNAcentral. Lineage: Eukaryota; Viridiplantae; Streptophyta; Magnoliopsida; Poales; Bromeliaceae.
UUCACAAAUUUUGAAUUUUUGCAAAACUGCGUCGCUUUUUUCGAUUUUACAGAUUCGGUUUGAAUUUUUAGUAAACUUACUAAAAUACUCUUAUACCUUUUUCUCUUCUGUUUUUUUUUUUUUUUUUUUUUUUUUUUUUUUUUUCCUCGCGUUCUCUUAUUUUUCUCGCCGAAGAAGGCGACGGAGGCAAAGGCCGAAACGGCCCCCAUCGUCUCUGCACCUCACGCCCUCACCCUCGCCCGCGCAUCCCUCGCCCUACUCGUCUCUGAUUCCGCCGAGGCCGCGCUGCGACCCUCUUUUCUUUUUCUUUUGUUUUUCUCUCUCAGACCCUCCUCCACCGUCUCUGCGAUGAUAACGAGAAUGGUAACGCGUCAUCUUCCUCUGCCUUUAUCCUCUACCUCCACUGCAGCGAAUUUUGCACCCACCAAACCUACUUUUGGGAACUGCGUUUCCAUCACCGCCGCCGACGAUAAAGAGAAUGCACUUCUCGGAAUUGAAAAGCUCGUCGGCGAAGGAAGGGGCACGCGGCCCACCCGCCUAUCUCUAAAGGCGGCAGCGAGCGUGGCCUCGACGGUGUCGGAAGCGAGAAGGGUAAGAAAUGCACGGUAGCAUCUCUAGAUUAGCACUUUUGUUUGUUUACAAAAAAAAAAAAAAAUUAAAAGGCAAAAAACUAGAGAAUAAUAGAGAAUGAAUUUGCACUGUUAAGAUUAAAUUGCACUGUUUUAAAAGAACGUUGUACUAUUAUGAACGUAAGUUGUACUCUUUUAAAUGUAACUGUAUCAUUUCAGAUGAAAGGUACACUUUUUAAACAAAAGUCACACUCUUUGAGAAAUAUUUAUACUAUUUUUCUUCUUGUUGUACUUUUUGAUGUAUAAAGUUACACUUUUUAAACAAAAAUUACANAUAUAUAUAUUUUUAUAUAUAUAUAUAUAUAUAUAUAUAUAUAUAUAUAUAUAUAUAUAUAUAUAUAUAUAU